RNAcentral lists this long non-coding RNA (1388 nucleotides) under Mus caroli (Ryukyu mouse). RNAcentral describes it as "Opa interacting protein 5, opposite strand 1 (MGP_CAROLIEiJ_G0005466.1)". Lineage: Eukaryota; Metazoa; Chordata; Mammalia; Rodentia; Muridae. The record is from RNAcentral.
UUUCGCGCCUCCGCCCCUGGGUUGGCGGACCGGGGAAGGAGCGAAGAUGGCGGAGUGAGGCGUGCCCCGGGCAGCUGGCCUGCGGGCCCGGGGCAGGCCUCCCGCGAGAAGCGGAGUGCUUGUGCUGGACCGUGUGAGGAACCAUAUCACACAAGAUGAAAAAUUUCCUGACCUUAGGUGCUUUUAUAUUCAGCUCAACAUUCUGAACUCAGGACUUGGCCCGAAUUCCUAUGUGGACUUCUCAAUGAGGCGUCCUGGUUCUUCCAUCCUGUUACUUUCCCCAAUGAGAUGCAGAUGUCUUUCUACCGAUUACCUCCAUGGUUUAGGAUGCAAAGACUGCCUUUCUUUUACUUCACGUCAGACUCAACACAGGAAAGCCGGGAGGAUGCAGCCGUCCUGUUGACUUCAGGAAGAAAAUAAACAAUGGACUUGGGUCUUCUGCAGCUUUUUAGUUAGAAAGACAGUGUUUGCAAGUAGAAGGAAGAUGUUGAAUUUGAAACAAGUACUUAGGUUCUGUGGCGUGUGUUUUCUUUUUAAAAGAUCCAAACAAGAAGACUGAACAAAAUACCAAGUGUGGGUGACUUCAGGUUUUUUUUUAAUGUCUUCCAAUUUUAACACUAUUAUAAGCACAGUUGACCGCAGUAAGUUCCAAAUAUUUAAUAUAAUUUGAAGUGAAAGAAAUGUUAUCUAAAUUCUGGCUCACUCUUUGACAGAUUUCCUGGACAAAAACAAGAUACGAUAAAAGCAGAAACCAAGGGUUGGUUUUGUAUGGGAGUGAAACCAUUACAGUUUUAUGUGUAUAAAUCUACAUUUUUAAACAAGAUUUUUCUCUUGGAGAAGAAACCUGUUGUUUAUAAGAAGGCUUUGGACAGUUUAAUAGUCUUAAAUGUUCUGCUUUGCUGUUCUAGUCCUUCUCAGGAAGGCCCAGCUGGGCCUGUGGCUAGUUCAGAAUGGGAGGAAACAUAGGCUGGGACAAUGCUCACCCUGAACUGCCAGCAUGUGGGAGACCAAGGCAGGAAGAGCAGAUGUUCAGGGCCAGCUUGGACAUCAUGAUGAGACUCAAAACCAGCAGGAAAAAAAAACAGAGUCCAGUAACACCCUCUUUUAUAUUCCUUUUGUGGAAUCAUAUGUAGGAUGUGAGACUGGGUUGGAAGGGAACUGGCAUAUGUGGUCUUGAGUUAAGGUGAUGUGGUGGACCCUGGUGUGUAACUGGCCUUCACCUUUGGACAUAGAGGAAUGAAGGAAAAACUAAGGCUUGGCGUAUAAAUCCUUUCUUCUAAGAAAUAGAAGCAAAGCUGUCUAAUGCAGCAUUGUCUGACUUUCCAACAUUUUUACAUUAUGUAGUUGCAUUUUUUAUAAAAAUAUAAAUAAGUUCCUUCAACCCAAAA